AUGAAGGCGGUGAAGUUGUUGGUGAAGAUCGCGGUGAUGAUGAUUGCCCCCAGCAGCGUUCCGGCGCCACCGGAAGCAAGGGGGAGAGAGCCCCCCUUAUUCUUCUUCUUCCUUGACCUCCUCCCUAGAUGGGAGAAGGGUUUCCCCUAUGGUCCUUGGCUCCCAUGGCUUGGGAGGGGCGAGAGCCCCUCCGAGAUUGGAUCUAUCUCUCUGUCUCUCUCUGUUUCCGCGUUCUCUGAUUCUACCCCUUCACCAUUUCUUUUAUAUCUGGAGAUCCGUAACUCCGAUUGGGGUGAAUCUUUUGCCCAGAUUUUCUCAUAA
RNAcentral lists this ribosomal RNA (321 nucleotides) under Triticum aestivum (bread wheat). RNAcentral's name for it is "partial small subunit ribosomal RNA". Lineage: Eukaryota; Viridiplantae; Streptophyta; Magnoliopsida; Poales; Poaceae. The record is from RNAcentral.